This 293-nucleotide ribosomal RNA is filed under the name uncultured bacterium. RNAcentral describes it as "partial 16S ribosomal RNA". It matches the Rfam family "Bacterial small subunit ribosomal RNA", at positions 28 to 300 of the family's 1533-position model. The record is from RNAcentral.
GACGAACGCUGGCGGCGUGCUUAACACAUGCAAGUCGAGCGGUAAGGCCCUUUCGGGGGUACGACGAGCGGCGAACGGGUGAGUAACACGUGGGUGACCUGCCCUCCAGCUCUGGGAGUAAGCCUGGGAAACGUAGGGUCUAAUACCGGAUAUGACCUUGCCUCGCAUGGGGUGGGGUGGAAAGUCCUGGGCUUGAUUGUCUGGGCUCGGGCUGAGGAUGGGCCCGCGGCCUAUCAGCUUGUUGGGGGGUGAGUGGCCUACCAAGGCGACGACGGGUAGCCGGCCUGAGAGGG